Biomphalaria glabrata is the source of this 855-nucleotide long non-coding RNA. RefSeq lists it as uncharacterized. The record is from RefSeq and is a predicted model, not a curated record. NCBI's taxonomy places the organism in Eukaryota, Metazoa, Mollusca, Gastropoda, Planorbidae. The transcript has 2 exons.
UGCACCAGGCCACCUACGACAUAGUUACUGCACCAGGCCACCUACGACAUAGUUACUGCACCAGGCCACCUACGACAUAGUUACUGCACCAGGCCUCCUAACAUUUUUUCAGACGACUGAAUCUGAAAACGUACAUAUCCUGGCUCUCGUUUAAUAAGCAUACACAAUUAGAAUGUUUAUAUUCUCGGGUUGACAGUGUCGAGCAAUUUUCUAGUAAUUACAAAGUUUUUGGAAUACGUGUUCAAGGUCAAUAUGGUGACAAAGUUUCCAAAAUACGUGUUCAAGGUCAAUAUGGUGACAAAGUUUCCAAAAUACGUGUUCAAGGUCGGGGGUCUUAGUGGAUGAGUGGUAAAGUGUUUGGCUUCCGAACCGAAGGGUCUCGGAUUCAAAUCUCGGUGAAGUCUGGGAUAUUGAAUUUUAAAACGAUUCGAGUCCAGCCAAGCGGGUGUCCGACAUUAGUAUGACGAAAGUAAAGGCGGUUGGUCGUUGUGCUGGCCACAUGACACUCUGGUUAAUCGUCGGCCUUAGAAAGAGAUGACUUUUGCUCUCUAUAAGGUCUGAAAGUGGUACUUUACUUUUACAUGACCGAUGUUCAAGGUCUUUACAGUGGCAGUUUCCUAAAUGUUAAGGAAUUUCAUACAAGACUUUAUGGCAGUACUAUAUCCAACUGCAGAUAACAAUAUUAUCUUGCAUUAUAAAAAAAAAAGAGGGGGUAAUUAAAUUUCAGUUUGACCAUGUCUAUCAAACUCAUUAUACGUGCAAAGGUUAUUUAUAGGCAUAGUUGUUUUGCCUAAUUGUGUGAUGCAUUAUUUACACUGAUUUUUUUCAAAUUCAUCGUGAUUAAAAAAAACAAAA